This 741-nucleotide long non-coding RNA is filed under the name Homo sapiens (human). RNAcentral's name for it is "HSALNT0392444". The record is from RNAcentral. Lineage: Eukaryota; Metazoa; Chordata; Mammalia; Primates; Hominidae.
AAGACAUGUCAAUCUGCUCAUGUAAAUCUUCCACUCAGUAACCUUUUGUGUGCAGCAUUUAUUGAGGCUGAUGGCAAAAAUUGAAACCAACAUCAUGGUAUUCUGAAGACCAGAGAUAUGAAUCUCCCUCAUUUGACAUCCUACUGGGCCUGAAUCUGUUUCACUGCUAAAGCUCUGCUGCCAAACCUAUACAAGCUGCCUCCCUCUAGGCCCAGGGGCUAUCAUGGAAGAGAUUGCCGGAGGCCAGAAAGUAAGACAAAUAACAGCUCACCUGCCUGGCUUGUUGGAGCAACAAGAAACUUUAAGAGCAAUCCUCCAUUUGCCAGGUUCCUUGGUAAUUAGACUUGUCAAUAGAACAGAUUUCUGUGUCCAUAAUGCAUAAGGUUAAGUAAGGUAUGUCGGUAUGUUGAGUAAGAUCACCACUCAAAUGAGGAGAAUGAUUGUUACAAGGUACAACAUAUAAUGAACAAAGUGGGAAAUUAAGAAAUUCUUAAUUUGUACAUUCUGGCCCAGGAAAAAGAAAUGCUGAGAUUAUCUUGGAUUGUGUUUAGAUAACUGUUUUGUAUUUCAAAGUACUUUCAGAAUCAUCUCAUUUUAGCUUUACAAUCUAGAAAUUUUUAUACAUAUUAUUUUCUAUUUGAGAAUACUGACAAAUUUCGCUUAAACAAACUUUAGCCUGACUCCUGAAGCUCCUCCUGUAUCUAUGUGUGCACUUCCUUGUAAAAUCCAGUUUCAGCAAGA